ACUAAUGUUGCAAGCGAGGAAAGAGAGAUCACAGACCGGUGGAAGGGUGGGGCACGGGUGUGGAGUUGAUUUUGAAUAUUUGUUGGUGCCUGCUUCCCUGCCAGCCUGAUACUCAGCCCAACAUCUGGCCUCAGGAGCGGAGGAGGAACCCCGGAAGAGUGCGGGGGUCCCAGAGGAGCUUGGGAAGAGCCCCAGAGCCCUUUCUCAUUCUUCCUGAUCCUUUAUGCUAUGUCUUCAGUCCUCCUCCCACACAGUGGUGUGCCUGCUUCCUUUCCAAGGCCUGUCUGCUAUAGAGAUCUCCAACAGACUUAACUUUGAAGGUCAACUUGAUUAGAUGGAGAAGCCACCGAAGAGGGAAGAGAAGUACACUUCCAGGCGUGUCUGUGAGGAAAUUUAACCGAGUGAGCAAGAGCCUGUUGAAAAGUUCAUCUCAAGCUCCUGUCAGCAUCAACUAAUACCAGAUCUCAUCUGAGUGGCCACUAUGAGGUCAGAUUUUGAACUAAGGGCCUGAAGUUCAGCAAGAAGGAACCAAGCCGCCCUGUACUCACCUGUGGGAAGCCCAGCAGAGAGACAGGACAUCAGAGUGAGUUAAGAUUAAACCUCAUCAGCUGAUGGCCUGAAACCCAAGGGCCUCCCAUGGAAUCGUCAGUGUGGAUACGAACCCAGAAGGAGGCACGGAACACACAGAAGUUCUGGUUCCAAGAACAGCACUGUUCCACUAUUGUAGGAUGAGUCACUGGUGACUCCAUUAGA
Molecule: long non-coding RNA, 753 nt
Filed under: Rattus norvegicus (Norway rat)
Lineage: Eukaryota; Metazoa; Chordata; Mammalia; Rodentia; Muridae
Description: long non-coding RNA NONRATT007206
Source: RNAcentral